GGCUCAGGAUGAACGCUGGCGGCGUGCCUAAUACAUGCAAGUCGAACGCACAGCGAAAGGUGCUUGCACCUUUCAAGUGAGUGGCGAAACGGGUGAGUAACACGUGGAUAACCUACCUCAAGGUUGGGGAUAACAUUUGGAAACAGAUGCUAAUACCGAAUAAAACUUCGUAUCGCAUGAUACAAGGUUAAAAGGCGCUACGGCGUCACCUAGAGAUGGAUCCGCGGUGCAUUAGUUAGUUGGUGGGGUAAAGGCCUACCAAGACAAUGAUGCAUAGCCGAGUUGAGAGACUGAUCGGCCACAUUGGGACUGAGACACGGCCCAAACUCCUACGGGAGGCUGCAGUAGGGAAUCUUCCACAAUGGGCGAAAGCCUGAUGGAGCAACGCCGCGUGUGUGAUGAAGGCUUUCGGGUCGUAAAGCACUGUUGUAUGGGAAGAACAGCUAGAGUAGGGAAUGACUUUAGUUUGACGGUACCAUACCAGAAAGGGACGGCUAAAUACGUG
Molecule: ribosomal RNA, 505 nt
Filed under: uncultured bacterium
Lineage: Bacteria
Description: bacterial SSU rRNA
Rfam family: Bacterial small subunit ribosomal RNA
Source: RNAcentral